UUGGUCCGAUUCUGUUGGAAUUUGGUAUUCAGGCUUAAUUUAGAAUACAAUUAAUAUAUUUUGACAGAUAUUUGAAAUAUAAGACAGUAUAUCGACACACAACGCGACUAUAUAACAAAUUAUGGUUCUUUGAAGCAUGAUACCCCAACCACUGGUCAUCUCUUUCCUUGGCAUAUAAACGUUGGUACACCUGAUAAUUUUUGUUUUGUUUUAAGAAAUCCUCUAAGGCCCAUCACUGACAGGACUUAGAGGUUCCAAACUGGUCCCCACGGACCAAAAGUAUAGGAGCGAAGCGACUAUACUUGUUAUAUAGGAGCGUCUGCGACUAUAUUAUGCACGCGGGCCCGGGUCCGAAAAAUCGUGUUUUUUUGGAAAUAAAAAUUCAUAUCUUUGGCUGUAUGGCUAGCGAAACGAUGAAAUUUGGCAUAGGGUCUCUCAAUACAUUGGGAAUGAUGGAUCCGUAAACGAAUUUUUUUUCCGGUACCACCAAACGGAGCGGUACUGUCUCAAAUUCAAAAAUUCGUAAAAAAAUUGGUAAAAAUCGAGUUGCUCACGAGAUCUCAAUUUUAAAGCGUUCAAUCGAGUUGAAAUUUUCAGGAUAUAUGGGUUCUUGGGGCUUACGUGUCUGUAUACUUUUUGAGCCCGAUCGGUAUACAGGGUGAGUUGUUAUAAGCGAACAAAAGUGACUAAAAAAAAAAUUCAAACUUCUCCAGAGGCUAAAAAAAAAUUUUUAUAAAAAAAGUGUUUCGGCGAAAAGACUUCAUUUUAUAAGAGAUUUAACAUACUUGGAGCUUUUUUUUGUAAAAAAUUUAUUUUACGAGUUCUGGCAUUUUCAGUUUUUUGGGAUUUUCCGCCAAACGAUACUUAUUUUGGGAAAAUUUUUUUUUUCAAAAAAUAACUUCAUCUUUUACCUUUUAUAUGCCAUAUAACCGAAAUUUUUGGGAACCAUACAGGGCGAGCAAUAAUGAACUUUACCCAUGAAGGUCCGACCCGAAAAUCACAUUUUAUUUAAUAACUUUUUCGUAGUAGCAUCUGGACCAUUUAUAUUCUCAGGCAUUAAAUACUUUAAUAACCCCAAUAUUUAUGUAAAAUUACAAUCUUCCAACAUUAAUAGGUUCUGAGCAAUUCGAAUUUUCGCGUUUAAUUCAUUUGCCACGUCCCUGUACAUGGUGAAAAGAUCAGACAUCAUCUAAAAGAUCCGAAAUUUUGUUUUACAACACAUACUAAAAUUUCAGGGUUCCAGCGAUAGUACAAGUACCCGAAAAAUGCGAUUUUAUGAAAAAAGUCCAUUUUUUUGCGUUUUUGCAGGUAAUUGGAGGUGUCAACCUAAACUCUGAUGAAAUGGCUGGUGGGAACAAUACUUUGACGCAUGGUGGAUACAAAUUUUUUGCUCGUGACAGGUGGCCGGGACUUGGUUGGGUUUUUUGUAAAAUUAUGAAUGAAAAUGAACCGGAAACGAUCAGGGAAAGGAAGCACCGAAUCAGAAAAUGAAUGGGCUUUCCGAAUCUGUGCAUAUCAAUAGGGGAAAUUGUGUAUUGCGGCCAGGAAAAUUCGGCAAACAUUUUGACGUCUUCGAAAAAUGCCGUUUUUUUGAAAUGUCAGUGUCUUUAUACCGGGGUGAGACGAAAUGAAAUUUGCCCGAUUAUUUUAUUAAAAUUAUUCGAAUAUAUACACGGGUCAGUCGUAAUGAUCUAUUUAAUUUAAAAUAAGAAUUUAGAUAUUUUGUGAGUUUUUACUAUUUAGUUUAUUAUUAAUAAAUGUUAACAAUUCUUAAACAUUGCUUUUGGGAUAUAAAUAAAAAAUUUUUUGAAAUUAUUGAUUUUUAAGGUUAGUCGAGUAUCAUAACUUUUUUGGUAUUGGUGCGAUUUGGUUGAAAUUUGGUACCUAGUACCUAUUUCGGAUAAGAUUAAUAAAUUUUUACAGAUAUUUGACAUGACUAUGUUUUAAGGUCACGUGACUACCUUAACUUUCUUCCUAUUUGUCCGAUUUGAUUGAAAUUUGGUAUUUGGGGUUUAUUUAGGAUGCAAUUAUUAAUUUUUGACAGAUAUUUGACAUUUGACUUCCGGGUCACG
RNAcentral lists this long non-coding RNA (2072 nucleotides) under Anthonomus grandis grandis. Its description in RNAcentral is "uncharacterized LOC126736198". Lineage: Eukaryota; Metazoa; Arthropoda; Insecta; Coleoptera; Curculionidae. The record is from RNAcentral.